CAGAGAAAAACCACUGCAAGUGUGCAGGUGUCUCAGUCAGAAUGAAGACUUCUCUGGUUUCCCUCUGUCUUCUAUUUGCCGUUUUGACAGAUUGCACCUUAAUCCUUGAGAAGUCUGAGGGUCAAAACGUCUCCAUUCAGUGCUCACACAAACUUGCAUGGGGUAACGACAAAUACUUCUGCAAGAAUCCAUGUAAGAGCAAAGGUGAUAUACUGGGAACUGUAAAGCCUGGUAAACAAGCAAAAUAUGAGAGAAUUACGCUGAUGGAUUCAGGGGACGGUGUCCUCACAGUCAACAUUUCUCAACUCCAGCUGUCAGACUCAAAGACAUACUUUUGUGCUGUAGAUCGUCCUGGGUUUGACACAUAUCAUGAAGUACGCCUAACUGUUACAAAAGCUGUAACAACAAAUGAAACGACUUCUUCAUUAACGACUGUCACCGACUUCACACAAUUGGCAACUGAAAUAAGCACAACAAUUCCAACAGCAACAAACCUUACUUAUGAAUUCAACCUGAACAUAAAGAACACAGAAACUGAUGUCAGUCUGUAUGCUGUGGGGGGCAUCUUCCUUCUCUUUCUCCUGAUUCUGGCAAUAUUAGCAUGGAAAUACCGAAACACCAGAAAUCUUCGACGAGCAGCUUCCUCCCACGACACUGACGUGUACCACGCACCUGAACGAGAGGUUGAAAGUCAAUUUGAAGAUUCCAAUAAUAAGAGGCGGUGCCGUGUAAAGCCACCUGAGAGGACAUCUGUUCCAGUACAGCACCAACAUUCUGCUCCAUCUGCCUCUACUUCCAAGGCAACAGAGUACGAUUAUAGCUUUAGUACUUAUGAAAACAUCUCUCUCUCCAAAAGACAUGCUGGAUUCAGACAAUCCCCUGUAGAGGACCAAAAAGGUGAAGAAUCAGAAACCUUUAAGGAAUCUUUGCCACCAAUGGCAUGUGAAAGAAAGGCGGCUGGUUCUCUUCAGCAAUCUUUAAUACAGAAAAAUGCAAGAUGCUCUAAGUACGAUUUAUUACAGUUUGAUACAUCCAGAAAUGGAGCAAAUGGAGAAAAAGACAAGUCUCUUUGGUUUGGUAUAGAUUUAUCCGAAAGGAAUCAAAAUCGAAGUUGAAUGUAGCCCAUUCUGGUUUUAGUGUGCAUUAAAAAAAGAAAUCAUAAAUAUACAGUAUACGGUGUAUGACUAACUUUAUGUUAUUGAAGUGAACUUCAUUAAGCGAGGGCCUAAUCUCAGGACUAUUGUUAUUGUUUUUAUGUAUGUUGACUGUUGUCAAAAAAAAAAAAAAAAAAAGGAAACUUCAUUAAUGCAAUAUUAUUUGUGUGCUGAUUCAUUUGAUGAACCACAACUGAAACUCUGCAGAAUAAUCUUACACAAUUACACACUCUUACACAAUAUUAAUAAAGCCUUAUUAAUAAUAAUAAAAAAAAAGGCA
This 1434-nucleotide long non-coding RNA is filed under the name Gouania willdenowi (blunt-snouted clingfish). RNAcentral's name for it is "lncRNA (ENSGWIG00000002294.1)". Lineage: Eukaryota; Metazoa; Chordata; Actinopteri; Blenniiformes; Gobiesocidae. The record is from RNAcentral.